CUAGAAUGCGGUAGAGGUAAAGGGAAUUCCUGGUGUAGCGGUGAAAUGCGUAGAUAUCAGGAGGAACAUCGGUGGCGUAAGCGCUUUACUGGGCCGUAAUUGACACUGAGGAACGAAAGCCAGGGUAGCAAAUGGGAUUAGAUACCCCAGUAGUCCUGGCCGUAAACGAUGGAUACUAGGUGUUGCGGGUAUCGACCCCUGCAGUGCCGUAGCUAACGCGUUAAGUAUCCCGCCUGGGGAGUACGCACGCAAGUGUGAAACUCAAAGGAAUUGACGGGGACCCGCACAAGCGGUGGAACAUGUGGUUUAAUUCGAAGCAACGCGAAGAACCUUACCAGGGCUUGACAUCUAACAAACCUUUGUGAAAGCAGAGGGUGCUCUUCGGAGAAUGUUAAGACAGGUGGUGCACGGUUGUCGUCAGCUCGUGUCGUGAGAUGUUGGGUUAAGUCCCGCAACGAGCGCAACCCUCGUCGUUAGUUGGUACUAUCGGUAUACUUAUAGUAACCUCUCUAGCGAGACUGCCGGUGAUAAACCGGAGGAAGGUGAGGACGACGUCAAAUCAUCAUGCCCCUUAUGCUCUGGGCUACACACGUGUUACAAUGGCCGGUACAAUGAGCCGCCAACUCGCGAGAGUGAGCAAAUCUCUAAAAGCCGGUCUCAGUUCGGAUUGCAGUCUGCAACUCGACUGCAUGAAGUCGGAAUCGCUAGUAAACGCAGAUCAGCACGCUGCGUUGAAUACGUUCCCGGGUCUUGUACACACCGCCCGUCACACCAUGGAAGUCGACCACGCCCGAAGUACGUGAGCUAACCGUAAGGAAGCAGCGUCCUAAGGCAGGGUUGGUGACUGGGGUGAAGUCGUAACAAGGUAGCCGUACCGGAAGGUGUGGCUG
Molecule: ribosomal RNA, 890 nt
Filed under: human gut metagenome
Description: bacterial SSU rRNA
Rfam family: Bacterial small subunit ribosomal RNA
Source: RNAcentral